RNAcentral lists this long non-coding RNA (6253 nucleotides) under Phaseolus vulgaris (common bean). Its description in RNAcentral is "long non-coding RNA (PVUL_LNC002411)". Lineage: Eukaryota; Viridiplantae; Streptophyta; Magnoliopsida; Fabales; Fabaceae. The record is from RNAcentral.
CUAAAACUUUGGUAACUAAUUUAGAUACAAAUUUAGAAACUAUUUUAUAAUAUUUUAUUAAUAAUAGAAAUCAUAUUAGAUGUCAAUAAUUUUUUAGUCUCUGAAUUGAUAUAUAAUAUAGUCAACUAAUUAUUUUUUAUCUCUAAAUUUAGUUACUAUUUCAUGAUUUUCUUGUGGUGAUAACUACACAAUAAAAAUUAAAAAAAAACUAUGUAAAAAAGAAAAAGAUAUAAAGAAACAAACAAGAUGAAAAAUAUUAUUUUUAUUAUUCACAUCUGAUUAUGUUUAUGAAUAAUUAGUUAAAAACUAAUAUGAUUUAUAAUAUAUAUAAUUUUGUAAAAGUAUUACUGAAAAAUUUGUGUAACUGUUAUCUUUGAAAAGAGAUAUUUAACUAUUUUAAAAUAAAGAAAAAUUAUUCACUAUUCAUUUUAUUAAAUAAAUAAAUUUUAUUCAUCAAAGGAUAAAAUUAUCUAAUUACAAGAUAAUAUCAAAAGAAUUUACCAAAAGUGUAUCUUAUUUUAUAUAAUGGUAUAUUAAAAAAAAGUAUUAUUGAAUUUCUAUAAAAAUAUAGAAAAUAUAUAAUAAAAUAGUUAUAUUUAUAAUUUUUCAUUCUAGUAACUAAUAUUUAAGGUUAGUAAUAUUUGACAUAUCAUAAAAUCAAUAAAAUUAAUAAUGUUUGUAAGAAUAAAAACAGUAAAAUAACAAAUACACACAAAAGGAAAACAGUUAGAUAAUACAAUCUCUAUUAAUUAAUGGAUAGAAAAGAAAACAAAAUAUUUAUACUCAAUAACACAAAAUCCAAUUUCUUUUAGAUACGGUUAUAAAUUUUAUUAUUAAUACUAGCGGGAACACCUACACUCACGUACCUGUAUAUCCGCAUUUUUCAUUUUUACUAUUUAUAUAUUCAUAUAAUUUUAAUAAAUAUUAAAUUAUAUGAGAAGAUAUGUAAAUUAUCUAAAUGCACCAUUGAUAAUAGUUUUAUUAAGAUUUUAUGUUAAUUUUUUUAUAUUGUUUUUGAAUAUUAAAUUUUGAUUUAACUUGGGUGUAAUCUUUAAAAUUAAGGUUUAAAAAAAUGGAUCAGCAAACAAUGUCAAAACAUAAUGCUGGUUGUAUGUUGGAAGUUGUAGAAUCUAUCACCAUAUCAAUUGAAUCCCCAUCUUCAAUGACAAAGAAGUUGAAAAAAAAUAAAAUAAUAAACUAAAUACAAAUUACCAAACUUCCAACUUAUGUAAUAUCUAUUAGAUCAAAACAUAAGUAGACAUAAAAACUUUGCCCGCAAAGCUGGGCUUAGGAUUCAUACAAAAAUAUAAAAAAAAAAUUAAGAAAGCAAUAGAAACAAAAAUGUUCAAAUCCUAUAAUAAUGAGACACGUCUCUUGCUUCGAACGCUUUGGGACUAAGAUGGUGAUUGAAGAGGGACUAAGAUGGGUGAGAAUAGGAGAAGAACAUGGAGCGUGAAGGAAGAAAGUUCAAAAUGUGUCAAAAUUUAUAGCAUUUUUUUUCUUUGGAUGCAAUUGGUGAAAACUACGCUCAACUACUCCUUGUAAGGGAGUGGAUGUAACUGGUGAAAACUACCCAUUCGUAAGAAAGGGGAUGUAAAUGGUGAUGGUGAAAACUAUUGAAGAAAGUGGUAACCGCUCAGUAAUAAUCAAAUUGUUCACGUUAGGCCACUACUCACAUUUCAUAAUAUUUAUUUCUCUCUCAUAAAACAGACACUCCCUCUUAUUAUGCAAUUAAUUUCAAAUAUUUUAUUAAAUUUAUUUCUCUCUCGACACUCUCUCAUUAUGCAAUUAAUUUUUAAAAUAAAUUAUCUCUUUCAAUUCAUAACCACAAUUAAAUAUUAAUAUAAGGAUAAAAUGAGAAAAAAAAUUAAGAGCAGUUAAGAGGAGGAAUAAGAAAUGACACAAUGAUCAUAAUACAAUAAUAAAAUUAAAUAUUAAUAUAAGGAUAAAAUAGAGAAAAAAAUUAAGAGCAGUUAAGAGGGGAAUCCCCUUGUAUAUAGGUAUAGAUUAUAUAUUAAUAUGUAUAGUAUAAGUUACAGAUAUUUUCACGAAUAUUGUUUACCUAACGUAGUUUAGUUAUUUUUAAAAGUCAUUAUUCCCCAGACUUGUGAAUACCAGAAAUCAUGUUUAUUAGUAUCAAAAAAAAAAAAUCUCUAAUUUUUUUCUUGAUAAAAUAUUUUGCAGUUCAUUAGGUGAAUUUGAUCCUCUUAGAGAUUAAUUUCACUCGUACCAUCUCUUUCAAAAGAGUUUUGCUUUUUUUCUUAUUUCACAAAUUGAACACAAUUUUUUGUUUAAUAUAUAGUACAUACAUCAAAUGAUUGAUGAGGAGAAAUAACCCAACCUAAAAGCAGCACAAAGCUUUAAAUGCAGAAAUGUCAAUAAACAUAAAUUUGUUUUAUGAGUAUAUUUUUUUUUUAUAUUCUAAGAAGUAGACAUGUGCUUAUGCAGGCCUAUAUUGAAUUAUUAUAAUUUUUAGUUUUUAAGACAAAUUAAAAAUAGAAUACUAAAAGAAUAUAAAAUAAUAAUAAUAAGAAGGAGGUUCAUUAUAGUUCUGAAAUAGGUUUUUCAGAGAAGGGUUAUAAAAUAGUUAACCUUAUUGCUAAUGUUUUAUUAAGAAAUAAAACAUGAAAUAUAGAUUGCACAAUGUGACAGAAAAGAAAAAGAGUUUAUUUUAUGUAUAUAUUUUCAAACUGAUUUGUUUGGAUGACCUAUAAGAGAAUGGUUGAAUACUAAAAUUAAAAUUAUUUAUUAAUUAUAAUAUAUUUUUAAUUUUUGUAUGUUAUUGUUCAUUUUAUUUAUAUGAUAAAUGGAUUGCUUUCUUCUGUUUUUUUACAAUAAGUGUCUUUAUAAUCUGAGAAUUUUUGGAUGUAUGUGUUUUGUCUUAUUAACUUCUAAACAAAACAAAUAUAAACUUGAUCACAGGGCAUAUAAAUACAUAUUUUCUUAGUUUUAAACAAGGAACAAAAUGAUAUAUUGUUAUAAAUGUUUAAUUAUUAAAAGAAUUUUUCAUCUAUAUUAUUUUUAUUAAUGUUUUGUCUGUCCUAUACAUGAUAACAAUCAAAAAGGUACACGAGAAGAUGAAGAACACAUAACUAUGAUAACACUCAUAAUGAAAUUUAUGAAAUCCACAAUAAAUGAAAAAAAUCAUGUUGAAGAGAAAGGCCUGAGAUGAUACACCAGAGUCAGAAGAACAUCAGACAAUCACCAUUAACUCAUGUCUCCAUCCAACAAAGAACUAAAAUAAAAUAAGGUAUGUUAUCCUAUUGAUUCAAUGAUAUCUUAUAAAAAAUUAACACAAAAAUAACUAAAUUAUACUCUUUCUAUUCAUCUCAAACUAAGUCACAAUGUUAUGAUGAAUGACUAGAAGUAAUGAAGGUUGAAAUGAAAGUUCUUUAGGUUAAUAAUACUUGGGAAAAUGCAGAUCUUUCUCACCACAAAACACCUAUUUGACUGCAAAUGGGUGUACAAAAUUAACAUAAAAAUAGAUUGAAAGAUAUAAAACAAAACUUCUAACAAAGGGCAUUGACUACAUGGAAACAUAUUUACUUGUGGCUAGACUCACUACCAUAUGAACCAAUCUGCUAUAAAAGACUGGCACCUUGAGAAACUUGAUGUACACAACACAUUUUUGCAUGGUGAUUUACCAGAAGAAGUGUACAUGACUUUGCUCCUAGAUAUUACCAUUCCAAAAUCAGAUUUUUUGUCUGGCCAAAUUGUUGUACGACUUAAAACAAGGAAGCAAAACAAUGGCAUGAGAAACUUAUCUCUUUUCUUCAUACUACUAAUUUUAUAUUCAAUCAAAGACAGAUCAUUCUCUCUUUAUCAGAAAAACUUAAACAUCUUUCAUCUCCCUCCUUAUAUAUAUAUAUGAUAUAUUACUUGUUGAAAAUAACAUGAGAGAUAUUGAAAUUGUUAAGAGUUCUUUAAACAAUAUUUUUAAAAUAAAAGAUUUAGACCGUUUAGAGUACUUUUUUUUGCAUGGAAAUUACUAGAAAUAAAGAAAAAAUACAUAUCUGUCAAAAAAAAUGUUCUCGAUGUUUUAGUUGAUCCAAGUAUGUUGAGUGCAAAACAUGCAAUCACACUAAGAAGAAUGACAAUGACACUCUGUUUCAUCAGAAUAUGUCUAUAUAUAUCUAUAUAUGAUGCAACUUCAUAUCGAAUAAUCAUUGAAAGGUUGUUGUAUUUAGUUAAUACCAGACCAUAUAUUAUUUUUGUGGUGCAGUUUCUCUUCUCAGUUAAUUUGUGCAAGCUCCAUUAAAACUCAUCACCAAGAAGUUUAACGAAUUCUAAGAUAUAUCAAAUCUUCAUUCGGGCAAGAUAUGUUCAAUGCUAAGAAUUCUGAUAUUCAAAUUAAAUUUUGAUUGGAGAAUCCAGAUAUCAUGGAAAACAAAAAAAGUAAACCACCAUAUUCGGGUCUUCUUCUGAGUCAGAAUAUCGAGCCUUAGUUUGUUUACUUGCUUGAAGACAUGUGUGUUACGUGGCAAGCUUAUUUUGUGAACAUAUAAAAUAGAAAAACAACUUUCAUGGACUAACUACAUUGAUAUAGAUUGUGUCAUGUGGUUAGAGAGAAGCCUUUUUCAUCUUCUAACAGAUCAACCUGCAGAUCUUGAUCAAGCAGAUCUUCUCAUUAAGCCUCUCACUAAGCCUUUUGAUGGUGCAGGUUCUGUUUUAAGCUUGGUGUUUUUUAUGUACUCACUAAUUCUUGUAUCUCAAAAUCUAUGACUAUUCUAUCAAAUGACUCCACUAUAAAAUAUACACUAAAAUAAAUUACCACAAGAAAAUUGGGUCAAAAAUCAAUUUAUAACUAUUUUUAAUGUUUUUUACCAAAUCGAGUAAAUAGUAAAAACAGAAAAACAUAUGCAACAAAUUCAUUAUGGAACAAUAGUUUCCAAAACAGGUAAAAUAAACCUUCAAUCAUUUUGAGAACAAGUUUUUGCAUUUAAAAUGUUCUUGAUGGCUUUGAAUCACCAACGUCAAGAGAAAGACAAAGAGAAACCAAAAACACCAAUCAUCAACGCUUAUACAUACGAAAAAUGCCAAUACCUUUGUUUGAUGAUAGGGUUUCAGAUCCAAAUGUAUGCUUCUGAAUCCACAUUUCUUCAAUUUGCCACUAAUUUAAGACAGUUGGAUGCUAAUGUAGUAGACUGAUAUAAAAGUUAAUAUAUAUCUCCAUUUUGUUAAUGGAUUGAUUCAAAAUCCAAUUAUUGUAUAUGAUGUAGGCAAAGAAGUUUUAGAUGAGAUGAAGAGCUUGCAUUGAAGUGUUGCACAAAGAACGGGCACAAUGUUUAUUGUUGUUGUAAUGGUACCAUGGUCACCAUAUGAACCUCUAGAACCAAUACACAUUUUGAAGAGAAUCAAAACAAGAAAACCAAAAUUUAAACAAACAACUUUUGAUCACAUAACAUAUACUCCAAAUACACUACAUAAACUGCACAUAUAUAUAGAUAUUGUGCAUUGCACAUAAUAUGAUACUAUAUACCAAGUAUCACAUUAUUUCUUUUUUACGAUCUCCUCAUCAUGGAAGCGUCCCACAUCGUUGAAGGUCUGUCCCGCAUUCUGAUCCGCGGCUUUCAGUGUAUCCGCUAUUGCCCCUGGUCGAGUCUCUUCCACUUUCAUCACCACCUUAUCUGCACGCCCCUCAGAUAUAUCUUUGUACCCUUGUAGCUUUAGAUCCUCCAGUUUCCUCCUUGCAUCUUCAUCUUCACCUCUCACAUUCCCCUGUGUCACAUCAUAUCACAUCCAUAACUUGUCAAUUUUUCUCAAACAUUCACAAUUAGUCACAUAUACACAAAACUGCACCCACAUAAGGUGCCAAUGCAAUGUGUUUUGGCUUCCAGAUUUGCUCCAAAUCAAAGUUUUAGUCCCUAAAUUCACAAAUGCAUAUAAUGUGUUCCAUUCUUAAAGUGAUUUUGAUCCUUGUGAUUGAAAAAAAGAAUACGAAAACUUCAAUAGAACUUGAACAGAUUCUAAGACAUGUUAGGCUCAACAAAUUUAAAAGAGAGAGUGAGACCUUGGUUUUGUCCCUUGCCUGUGCAGUUUUCUGUUUUGCUGCUUCUGUGGUUUCUGCAGCCUUGUCCUUCAUCUCCGCAGUCUUGUUAUUUGCUGCCUCAGUUGCUUCCCAGGUCUUGUUCUUUGCUGCUUCAGUUGCAUCCCAGGUCUUGUCCUUCAUCUCCGCAGCCUUAUUCUUCGCUGCCUCGGUCGUUUCAGCAGUCUUGUUCUUUGUUGCAUCAGCAGUUUCUGCAGCCUUCUUCUU